UGUAGGGAUUGUGCUGUUGACAAGGAGAAAUUGGCAGAAGAAUAUACUUUUUACUUGAUUCCAGGAUCAAUGAAUUGGCAAGGGAUGCAUCAUGCAUGUGUAGAGCUGGUGGGAAAUUGCAAAAAUAAUUUGGUUUAAAACAAGGAGUUGUCCCAAUCAAACCAUUCAAAAACAAGAUAGAUGGUUUGUCUUUUUUUGCCGCCCCUUUUGGGUUGGAUAUAAAGG
Long non-coding RNA from Solanum dulcamara, 225 nucleotides. RefSeq lists it as uncharacterized. The transcript has 2 exons. NCBI's taxonomy places the organism in Eukaryota, Viridiplantae, Streptophyta, Magnoliopsida, Solanales, Solanaceae. The record is from RefSeq and is a predicted model, not a curated record.